Molecule: ribosomal RNA, 272 nt
Filed under: uncultured bacterium
Lineage: Bacteria
Description: partial small subunit ribosomal RNA
Rfam family: Bacterial small subunit ribosomal RNA
Source: RNAcentral
AGAAUCAACGCUGGCGGCGUGCCUAACACAUGCAAGUCGAACGCGACUGGGGACUUCGGUUCCCAGUUGAGUGGCGAACGGGUGAGUAACACGUGGGUGAUCUACCUUCGAGUGGAGGAUAACGUUCCGAAAGGAACGCUAAUACCGCAUGACGUUCUGGGUUUGAAGAUCUGGAAACCAAAGCCGGGGACCGCAAGGCCUGGCGCUUGAAGAGGAGCCCGCGUCCGAUUAGCUAGUUGGCGGGGUAACGCCCACCAAGGCGACGAUCGGUA